This 468-nucleotide ribosomal RNA is filed under the name uncultured bacterium. RNAcentral's name for it is "partial 16S ribosomal RNA". It matches the Rfam family "Bacterial small subunit ribosomal RNA", at positions 28 to 507 of the family's 1533-position model. The record is from RNAcentral.
GACGAACGCUGGCGGCGUGCUUAACACAUGCAAGUCGAACGGAAAGGCCCUGCUUUUGUGGGGUGCUCGAGUGGCGAACGGGUGAGUAACACGUGAGUAACCUGCCCUUGACUUUGGGAUAACUUCAGGAAACUGGGGCUAAUACCGGAUAGGAGCUCCUGCUGCAUGGUGGGGGUUGGAAAGUUUCGGCGGUUGGGGAUGAACUCGCGGCUUAUCAGCUUGUUGGUGGGGUAGUGGCUUACCAAGGCUUUGACGGGUAGCCGGCCUGAGAGGGUGACCGGCCUCAUUGGGACUGAGAUACGGCCCAGACUCCUACGGGAGGCAGCAGUGGGGAAUAUUGCACAAUGGGCGGAAGCCUGAUGCAGCAACGCCGCGUGCGGGAUGACGGCCUUCGGGUUGUAAACCGCUUUCGCCUGUGACGAAGCGUGAGUGACGGUAAUGGGUAAAGAAGCACCGGCUAACUACGUG